GUGACAGUCAAAGCAGUGGAGCUGAUAGUCUGGAAGUACAUGUGGGUACCCUACCCACUUUUUGGCUUAGCUAGUGCAUCUCAGUUCCCACCAACCUGAGACUUCCCUCCUCAUAAAGGCACGUUAUGCUGAGAGCUUCCCCACCUCUUUCAGUCAUAGUCUCAUUCCAACAGAAGCUGCUCAGGUUGCUUUUUGGAGAAGGCAAUGCUUGAACCCCCACAUUCCCUGUGACUGCACAAUGGGCUCACGUUAGAAUCUUUGAGCCUCCGACCUUCCUUGGUGAUAAACAAAGAGGCACAAUUUUGGGUUUCAGAAGAUCAUCCAGUCAGUCGCUCACUGCUGAGAGGAAGACACAGAGUAGGGUGCUGAAAUCAGUUGAGCUACUUGAAGCCACAAAGGUGGCAGAAGAAGGAAAACACUUGAUUUUGCAUAGGAAACUUUCUGAUUUCUGGGACUUCUCCCUGCUAGGGAAGGAUUACUGCAGCCCACCACUUCUGAAACAUCUCAGAGAUAGAGCAGUCUGUCCCAGAGGCCAUCUGUGCUGACACCACUGGCUUUGGGGCACUUGACCUAUUGUGAGACCACGUCAAGCUACCUACGCUUCACAUGAGUGUGUGUGGGCUUCUGAGCCACGGUUGCUCCAUUGCUGCAGACGGAGGAGCAGUCAGCACCAUCAGCCCCAGCAGAUGAGGAGCGUUUCCUGGAGAAUCAGUACAGAGCUGCUCAUCUCCAGAUCAGCU
RNAcentral lists this long non-coding RNA (740 nucleotides) under Gallus gallus (chicken). RNAcentral's name for it is "long non-coding RNA NONGGAT005097". Lineage: Eukaryota; Metazoa; Chordata; Aves; Galliformes; Phasianidae. The record is from RNAcentral.